This 107-nucleotide small RNA is filed under the name Marmota monax (woodchuck). The record is from RNAcentral. Lineage: Eukaryota; Metazoa; Chordata; Mammalia; Rodentia; Sciuridae.
GCCAGGUGUGGUGGCGCACACCUGUAAUCCAAGCUACUUGAGAAGCUGAGGCAGGAGGAUCACAAGUUGGAGGUUAGUCGGGGCAACUUUGUGAGAUCCUGUCUCAA